Molecule: long non-coding RNA, 296 nt
Filed under: Cavia porcellus (domestic guinea pig)
Lineage: Eukaryota; Metazoa; Chordata; Mammalia; Rodentia; Caviidae
Description: lncRNA (ENSCPOG00000039809.1)
Source: RNAcentral
UCUCCCGCUUCCCCGCAAGGUAUCUCAGCGUGGGCUGGCGUGUGUGCAGAGCGAUCCGGGGGGUCGCGGCGUCGGCAGGGCAGAUCAAAGGCUCCGAUUUCCGCUCUGGAGCUGGGGACGCUGGCCAGGAACCGCAGGCACCUUCCGGGCCGGGAGUUCAAGAAGUUGGCCCCGUGAGCAUUAACCUCUUCCACCCUCUGGUCUGCACCUGCCUGAGCCCAGGUGCCUAAAGCUGACAAGACCAUCUUCUCCACUAGAAUGAGAGAAGAGGCUAUUUCUCUCAGCUUUGUACAUCA